UGUAUUUAUAUAUUUAUAUAAAUCCUGAACGCUACUGUAAUCUGACAUUAAUCAUAUUUGUGUAAUUUACCGAAAAAAUAACAUUUGUUACAAUAAAAAAUAGAGAGAA
This is a long non-coding RNA of Melitaea cinxia (Glanville fritillary), 109 nucleotides long. RefSeq lists it as uncharacterized. The transcript is spliced from 3 exons. Lineage: Eukaryota; Metazoa; Arthropoda; Insecta; Lepidoptera; Nymphalidae. The record is from RefSeq and is a predicted model, not a curated record.